CGUUAAUCAAACGUCGGUGAAGAAAUAAAAGGCCGUGCGUUGCAGUCUACGUAGAAGAAAAGUGCCUUUACGAAACACCACCAUCUAUGGCUGAGUCACCUGUCGAAGUUCAUUGCCGACGUGUCAUAACUAGAAGCUACUCUCAAAUCUCCAAGUGCGGUUCUAGUGAUUAGGCACCGCCCCGGUACGUUUCAUGGGUGACACACCCGUCAGAAAUGAUGUAAUAGUUUAGUUCGCACGCUAAUACUAAUUAAUUAGCCGAAAAAAAAAACAAAGACAAUAAAAAAAAACAAGCAGUAGGAACACGUGCGCGGAUCGGGGAAGUGGACGACAACCAGAGCGAGAGCAUCCGAGGGCCAAGGAAGGUGACGGCCACAGCCUUCGUCUACUGUUCUUCCGUAACUUUGAUGACGUCGGUGCCUCGGUCCCCAACCUUGCAGUCGGUGGCGGGAGGACGUUCGCCCUAGCGACCCGCUCUGUCCAACGGCGGCUGCGACAGCAGGGGAGGGUCUCGGUAGCCGAUGCAUGUUUGGCCUCGGCGUCCCGGAACUCCUCGUCGUCGCGGCGCUCGUCUCCGGGCCGGAGUAGUUUCCCCUGAUCGGAUGGAGCAUCCUAUAGGUUCUGCGAACAGAUGGAAUUAAAUGUCGGUGACCUGUUUUCCAUUAUGCAAACCGAUAAGAAAUUUACAAACGAAGGGACUGAAGUAUGUGAUGGUGGAAUUGGAGGCCAAGUUCCUCGUCGAUGCAAUCUUGCUAGAGAUGUCAUUCUGUAGUAUCAAAUGGUUGUAUUCAGUUUAUUCUAGCUAUUCCUGAAUCACAUAACAUCC
Molecule: long non-coding RNA, 826 nt
Organism: Zingiber officinale
Lineage: Eukaryota; Viridiplantae; Streptophyta; Magnoliopsida; Zingiberales; Zingiberaceae
Exons: 3
Source: RefSeq, a predicted model, not a curated record